RNAcentral lists this ribosomal RNA (253 nucleotides) under uncultured bacterium. RNAcentral describes it as "partial 16S ribosomal RNA". It matches the Rfam family "Bacterial small subunit ribosomal RNA", at positions 524 to 776 of the family's 1533-position model. The record is from RNAcentral.
UACGAAGGGGGCUAGCGUUGCUCGGAAUCACUGGGCGUAAAGGGUGCGUAGGCGGGUCUUUAAGUCAGGGGUGAAAUCCCUCGGCCCAACUGAGGAACUGCGCCCGAGACUGCUUCUCUUGAGUCCCGGAGAGGAAGAUGGAAUUCCCGGUGUAGCGGUGAAAUGUGUAGAGAUCGGGAGGAACACCGGUGGCGAAGGCGGUCUUCUGGACGGUGACUGACGCUGAGGCGCGAAAGCGUGGGGAGCAAACGGG